GAUGAACGCUGGCGGCGUGCCUAAUACAUGCAAGUCGAGCGAACGGACGAGAAGCUUGCUUCUCUGAUGUUAGCGGCGGACGGGUGAGUAACACGUGGAUAACCUACCUAUAAGACUGGGAUAACUUCGGGAAACCGGAGCUAAUACCGGAUGAUAUUUUGAACCGCAUGGUUCAAAAGUGAAAGACGGUCUUGCUGUCACUUAUAGAUGGAUCCGCGCUGCAUUAGCUAGUUGGUAAGGUAACGGCUUACCAAGGCAACGAUGCAUAGCCGACCUGAGAGGGUGAUCGGCCACACUGGAACUGAGACACGGUCCAGACUCCUACGGGAGGCAGCAGUAGGGAAUCUUCCGCAAUGGGCGAAAGCCUGACGGAGCAACGCCGCGUGAGUGAUGAAGGUCUUCGGAUCGUAAAACUCUGUUAUUAGGGAAGAACAUAUGUGUAAGUAACUGUGCACAUCUUGACGGUACCUAAUCAGAAAGCCACGGCUAACUACGUGCCAGCAGCCGCGGUAAUACGUAGGUGGCAAGCGUUAUCCGGAAUUAUUGGGCGUAAAGCGCGCGUAGGCGGUUUUUUAAGUCUGAUGUGAAAGCCCACGGCUCAACCGUGGAGGGUCAUUGGAAACUGGAAAACUUGAGUGCAGAAGAGGAAAGUGGAAUUCCAUGUGUAGCGGUGAAAUGCGCAGAGAUAUGGAGGAACACCAGUGGCGAAGGCGACUUUCUGGUCUGUAACUGACGCUGAUGUGCGAAAGCGUGGGGAUCAAACAGGAUUAGAUACCCUGGUAGUCCACGCCGUAAACGAUGAGUGCUAAGUGUUAGGGGGUUUCCGCCCCUUAGUGCUGCAGCUAACGCAUUAAGCACUCCGCCUGGGGAGUACGACCGCAAGGUUGAAACUCAAAGGAAUUGACGGGGACCCGCACAAGCGGUGGAGCAUGUGGUUUAAUUCGAAGCAACGCGAAGAACCUUACCAAAUCUUGACAUCCUUUGACAACUCUAGAGAUAGAGCCUUCCCCUUCGGGGGACAAAGUGACAGGUGGUGCAUGGUUGUCGUCAGCUCGUGUCGUGAGAUGUUGGGUUAAGUCCCGCAACGAGCGCAACCCUUAAGCUUAGUUGCCAUCAUUAAGUUGGGCACUCUAAGUUGACUGCCGGUGACAAACCGGAGGAAGGUGGGGAUGACGUCAAAUCAUCAUGCCCCUUAUGAUUUGGGCUACACACGUGCUACAAUGGACAAUACAAAGGGCAGCGAAACCGCGAGGUCAAGCAAAUCCCAUAAAGUUGUUCUCAGUUCGGAUUGUAGUCUGCAACUCGACUACAUGAAGCUGGAAUCGCCAGUAAUCGUAGAUCAGCAUGCUACGGUGAAUACGUUCCCGGGUCU
RNAcentral lists this ribosomal RNA (1372 nucleotides) under uncultured bacterium. RNAcentral's name for it is "bacterial SSU rRNA". It matches the Rfam family "Bacterial small subunit ribosomal RNA", at positions 28 to 1381 of the family's 1533-position model. The record is from RNAcentral.